Molecule: ribosomal RNA, 1230 nt
Filed under: Triticum aestivum (bread wheat)
Lineage: Eukaryota; Viridiplantae; Streptophyta; Magnoliopsida; Poales; Poaceae
Description: partial small subunit ribosomal RNA
Source: RNAcentral
AUGGCAGACCAGGAGGAAGCGAGGCCAACCAAGAAGGCACGCGGGUCCUCGCCGCCACCUGCCAUGGGCUCCGGUAGCCUGACGGCGUUUGCGCUCCGCCUGGCUAAGAAGCUCGCUGAGGGCGACGACACCAUGAACAGCAACAUCGCCUUCUCGCCGCUGUCCCUCUACACCACGCUUGGUCUGGUGGCCGCCGGAGCCCGCGGCAGAACCCUGGAUGAGCUCCUAGCCCUGCUCGGUGCCGCAUCGGCUGACGAGGUCGCCAGAUUCGUACGCGGCCUCGCCGCUGACCCGUCCGGGUCCGGUGGGCCGAUCAUCACCUACGCCUAUGGUGUGUUUCACCAGAAACACAAGGAGCUCACGCCGGACUUUCUCCACACCGCCACCGAGUCCUACAGCGCCGAAAUACGCGCAGUGGACUUCGCUAAGGAUGAGGUCAGGGAGGAGACCAGGAAGGAGAUCAACCUGUGGGCGGCGGCAGCGACGAACAAUCUCAUCUUGGAGAUCUUGCCCGAGGGUUCAUUGACCGACCUCUCGAGGUUCGUGCUCACCAACGCCAUCUACUUCAAGGGUGCGUGGGAGACCCGCUUUCCCAAGAAGCUCACCGAAGACCGCGAGUUCUACCGCCUUGACGGCGCUGAUCCCGUGGAAGUCCCCUUCAUGACCCUGCCAGGAGAAUGCCAGCUCUUCGUCUCAUACAACGAAGGCUUCAAGGUGCUGAAGCUCCCGUACAAGGCUGGUGACGAUGCCAUGUCGCGGUACUCCAUGUGCGUCUUCCUCCCGGACGAGGAAGAGGGGUUGCAUGACAUGGUCCGCUCUCUGGAGGAGGUGGGCGGCUCCCUGCUCGACCACGUGCCGAUGUACCAUAGCAGCGUGAGGGAGAUUCUGCUGCCCAUGUUCAAGCUGUCAUUCUUCUGCGGUCUCUCCAAAGUCCUUCGUGGCCUAGGAGUCCAGGAGGCAUUCAGCAAGGAGGCCGACCUGUCCGGUAUCAUGGAGAAGAGCGUCUGCGACGUGCGCUUGGACGAGGUGUUCCACAAGGCCGUCGUCGAAGUGAACGAGGAAGGCACCGUGGCAGCUGCGUGCACUGCCGUCGUUGGCCGCAAGAAGCAAUGUGCAAGGAGAUCGUUGGAGUUCAUCGCCGACCACCCGUUCGCGUUUUAUAUCGUGGAGGAGGUGUCAGGGGCCGUGGUCUUUGCCGGUCAUGUACUCGACCCUUCUAGCUCACAGUAA